Molecule: transfer RNA, 68 nt
Filed under: Acinetobacter baumannii
Lineage: Bacteria; Pseudomonadati; Pseudomonadota; Gammaproteobacteria; Moraxellales; Moraxellaceae
Also listed under: 43 other names
Description: tRNA-Glu
Rfam family: tRNA
About the family: Transfer RNA (tRNA) molecules are approximately 80 nucleotides in length.
Source: RNAcentral
CGUCUAGAGGCCUAGGACAUCGCCCUUUCACGGCGGUAACCGGGGUUCGAAUCCCCGUAGGGACGCCA